GACGAACGCUGGCGGCGUGCUUAACACAUGCAAGUCGAACGAUGAAGCUGGAGCUUGCUCCGGUGGAUCAGUGGCGAACGGGUGAGUAACACGUGAGCAAUCUGCCCUUCACUCUGGGAUAACUGCGGGAAACUGUAGCUAAUACCGGAUACGAGACCUUGGGGCAUCCCAGGGUCUGGAAAGAAUUUCGGUGAAGGAUGAGCUCGCGGCCGAUCAGCUAGUUGGUGAGGUAAUGGCUCACCAAGGCGACGACGGGUAGCCGGCCUGAGAGGGUGACCGGCCACACUGGGACUGAGACACGGCCCAGACUCCUACGGGAGGCAGCAGUGGGGAAUAUUGCACAAUGGGCGAAAGCCUGAUGCAGCAACGCCGCGUGAGGGAUGAAGGCCUUCGGGUUGUAAACCUCUUUUAGUAGGGAAGAAGCGCAAGUGACGGUACCUACAGAAAAAGCACCGGCUAACUACGUGCCAGCCGCCGCCGUAA
This 483-nucleotide ribosomal RNA is filed under the name uncultured bacterium. RNAcentral's name for it is "partial 16S ribosomal RNA". It matches the Rfam family "Bacterial small subunit ribosomal RNA", at positions 28 to 523 of the family's 1533-position model. The record is from RNAcentral.